This 498-nucleotide ribosomal RNA is filed under the name uncultured bacterium. RNAcentral's name for it is "partial 16S ribosomal RNA". It matches the Rfam family "Bacterial small subunit ribosomal RNA", at positions 30 to 523 of the family's 1533-position model. The record is from RNAcentral.
AUUGAACGCUGGCGGCAUGCCUUACACAUGCAAGUCGAACGGUAACAGGUCUUCGGAUGCUGACGAGUGGCGAACGGGUGAGUAAUACAUCGGAACGUGCCUAGUAGUGGGGGAUAACUACUCGAAAGAGUGGCUAAUACCGCAUGAGAUCUACGGAUGAAAGCAGGGGAUCGCAAGACCUUGUGCUACUAGAGCGGCCGAUGGCAGAUUAGGUAGUUGGUGGGAUAAAAGCUUACCAAGCCGACGAUUUGUAGCUGGUCUGAGAGGACGAUCAGCCACACUGGGACUGAGACACGGCCCAGACCCCUACGGAAGGCAGCAGUGGGGAAUUUUGGACAAUGGGCGCAAGCCUGAUCCAGCAAUGCCGCGUGCAGGAUGAAGGCCUUCGGGUUGUAAACUGCUUUUGUACGGAACGAAAAGCCCUGGGUUAAUACCCUGGGGUCAUGACGGUACCGUAAGAAUAAGCACCGGCUAACUACGUGCCAGCCGCCGCCGUAA